GAAAUGCGAUAAGUAAUGUGAAUUGCAGAGUUCCGUGAAUCAUCGAAUCUUUGAACGCACAUUGCGCCCUCUGGCAUUCCGGGGGGGAUGCCUGUCCGAGCGUCAUUACGCACCCUCAAGCCCGGCUUGUGUGAUGGGCCCCGGCGUCUCGUUCGCGAGACGGGCCCGAAAGGCAGCGGCGGCGUCGACCCGAUGAGCCCGAGCGUAUGGGGACUUCUGUCACACGUUCGCGGUGCGGACCGGCGCCUGCUUGACUUUUCUGAUUAUCCAGGUUGACCUCGGAUCAGGUAGGGAUACCCGCUGAACUUAAGC
This 312-nucleotide unclassified non-coding RNA is filed under the name plant metagenome. Its description in RNAcentral is "partial contains 5.8S ribosomal RNA, internal transcribed spacer 2, and large subunit ribosomal RNA". The stretch from base 1 to 105 matches the Rfam family "5.8S ribosomal RNA", at positions 50 to 154 of the family's 154-position model. The record is from RNAcentral.